UUCAUUUGGUUUCUCUCUCCAACGCUUACAAUAAUUCACUCACGCAGCAUUAAACGUAUCUCGAUUCCCAUCAUUAUCCCUUUCCCCAAUUUAAUUUUCCCUAACCAAAAUCAAUCAAGCGUGAUUCUUCUCCACCAUCUCCCUAGAACUGGCCAUCCAAAUCCUUGGUUUUAUUCGAUUGCAGCCCCCCUCACCCUUACCCGAGGUCGCCAUUUAUAUGAUUGGAGUCGUCCCUCACCCUUACCCGAGGUCGCCAUUUAUAUGAUUGGAGUCGUCCCUCACCCUUACCCGAGGCCCUAAGAAAGUUACUGCUAUUUGAACAUAUGAUUCUGAUACAGACAGUUUCUUUUCUAAGUGAAAUCAUGUCCAUGACGAGUAGUAUUGGAUUUUUGAAGAGGUCUGACUCUUGAAGCUAGAGAUAUUCCUGGCUAAAUUUAUCAAUUCUAAUAACAGGUAAUUCGGUAAACUACCAGGAUCAAACAGUUUUGGGAUAACAUUGAUAAUGAGCAAUUUAAUUGUGGUUGAGGCUAAAGUCCUAGCAUGGUAAAAACCGUCAGUUAAUGCAGCAAUUAGUUUUUCCUAAUAAAUUUCAAGAAAGAUGAUGUGCUGGAGCUGACCAAAUGGUCUGUGGCUCCUUUCCCUAUUCCUGCUCCAGUGGUCUGUGGCUCUUGAGAUGUGAAGAAGCUUAGUGGUUCUUUGUGGAUCAUAUAACCAUGGAAUUGCAUUUUACUUUGCACCCUUCUUUGGAAAUAAGCGCAUCCAGAUGAUGAUAAACAUACUUAGAUUUAAAAUUGUUAGAUUUAGUUCUUGGUUAUGCUAUGUAUAUUUAUAUUUUGUCAAAUUAUAAGGUAAAAAUCCCACAGGGAUUAUAAAUGUUAAUAAUUUCAUGUUAAAACUCUUUUUUUUUAAUAAA
Lotus japonicus is the source of this 913-nucleotide long non-coding RNA. RefSeq lists it as uncharacterized. NCBI's taxonomy places the organism in Eukaryota, Viridiplantae, Streptophyta, Magnoliopsida, Fabales, Fabaceae. The record is from RefSeq and is a predicted model, not a curated record. The transcript is spliced from 4 exons.